AAGUCGUAACAAGGUUUCCGUAGGUGAACCUGCGGAAGGAUCAUUAUUGAAAUAAACCUGAUGGGUUGUUGCUGGCUCUCUAGGGAGCAUGUGCACGCCUUGUCAUCUUUAUAUCUCCACCUGUGCACCUUUUGUAGACCUUUCGGGGUCUAUGUUGCUUCAUUUUUCCACAAUGUAUGUUAAUAGAAUGUUGUGCCCUGUAUAAUAUAUACAACUUUCAGCAACGGAUCUCUUGGCUCUC
RNAcentral lists this unclassified non-coding RNA (241 nucleotides) under Cortinarius sp. RNAcentral describes it as "partial contains small subunit ribosomal RNA, internal transcribed spacer 1, and 5.8S ribosomal RNA". The stretch from base 1 to 46 matches the Rfam family "Eukaryotic small subunit ribosomal RNA", at positions 1786 to 1831 of the family's 1831-position model. RNAcentral also lists the same sequence under 1 other name. Lineage: Eukaryota; Fungi; Basidiomycota; Agaricomycetes; Agaricales; Cortinariaceae. The record is from RNAcentral.